This 5312-nucleotide long non-coding RNA is filed under the name Olea europaea subsp. europaea. Lineage: Eukaryota; Viridiplantae; Streptophyta; Magnoliopsida; Lamiales; Oleaceae. The record is from RNAcentral.
AUUUUUUUGGUUUCUAGAUUUUUCUAUUUUCUCUCUCUCGCCUACGUGCGAUUCUUCUUCAUCUCCUUCUCUAUUUUUUUGGUUAAAAAUCUCAUAUUAAUCCUUAGUUUUAGUUUUAACCUUUGUAGAUGGCCUUGCUACAGUAAUUUGAGGCCUUGUUUUAGUCUCUUUGGUUUUUUCAAUUGUGAAAUGGAGUGUUUAAGGUUAAGUGGUUGAAGGAUUGGUUAUGGUUUUGGAGAUCCAUGUGAUUGAUGAACAAAACCUAUGUUUUUUGAGUGGUUGAUUUACACUAUACUCUCUUGGAAGGUUAUUUUUCACUAGAGGAACGGGUUCAAUUCCUGAGCCCCCUAGAUUAGACAAUUUUCGGCUGAACUGGGUCAACAAUCUUGUGUUUUUUACGUUUUAUAGUUUUUUUUUUUAUUUCUUGGGCAUUUUGGUGUUUAUUAAUAAGUGUUUUCAUCAAGAAAAACCCAACACUUUUCUUAUUCUACAAGUAGAAUAUUUGAUUGUCUCUGAUGAAUGAUUUGCUACCAUUCUCUAUGUUUAGGAGUGGUGUGUUUCACCUUUUACGGCUUUAUUGUGCCAUGGUACUCCAGUGUCCAACCUAUUAUUUCUAAAAAUAGUUAUGUUGGAUGAUGUUGUUCUCUUUGAUACCUUAUUCAUCUGUUUGUCCUUCAUAUUAAGGGAGUAUCUGUGGAGUGGGUUAUGAUCUUGCCAAUUAUUACAGAACUAAGGGGUUCCACCUCUGAGUAUUCUUUCAUUUGCAAAUACAUUGUUCUAAUGAAAAAUGAAGAUUGUUCUAAUGAAAAAUGAAGAUACAUGUCCAAUUACUGUCGACUUUGCUUCCUGAACAUAUCUUAUUUUUGACCGAUUUCCUCUUCCAUUCUCUUUGGAUCUUAGCUUACAAAUUUGGGAUAUUGAUUGUUUUCCGGUUGUUAUGACUAUAGUUUGGGAAGAAAAUUCAUCCUAAGUGUGUUGUUUCUCACCUGACGAAUAAUUUCUUGUUUCUUGCUUAGUCGAUGAAUUUAUUGAGGUUUGAUUAUUACAAAUUCCUUCAUUAGUACAAAUUGAGGUUUUUUAUUACAAAAUCCAUAAAUCGUUAGAAAUUUCUAGCUACUCCUUGGUUGCUCAUUUUAGAUCAUGCUAGGUAUGGGAUCACAUAAGUGGAAACCUUAAGAAGGAUCUUCAAUAUCAGGCUCAUGUAAGUUGUGUGUUCUUCUAAUUUUCAUUCUCUUUCCCCGUCUUAGUUAUUUUAAUUUGUUAAACCUAUUCUAUUGUGCUUGCAUGAUAUAACUCUGGAUCUGUGAGGCUUAAAUUACUUAAUAAUAUGGUGUUAUAAUGCAACAAAUUGGAUAAAAAAUAGUUUAUUAAGGAAGUGAUUUUCGAUGUUUUAUCAUCAUUGUAUCAAGAGAAUUGCCAUUCACAGUUAACUAAAUAUAAGUUGGCACUAAAUGGUUGACAUGUAGGGCUUGAAACAAACUGCAAUAUGUUGAAUUCUUAGUUCUAAUGGAUCUUUUUCUUACCUCUCCUUUUUCUUAUUUGUUCAUUACCCCUUUAGAGGGGCUAAGUUAUUUAUUUUUCUUUAAUCAUAUAAAUGGAUGAGAUAAUAGAUACACAUCUUCUUGUCUGUUGCAUUUGUUGUUUUCCAGAUUGGCAAAUUAAUUAUUACUAACAUGUCCACAUGGUUCAUGACUUACAGCAUUAACUAUUUUCAAUUUAAUUCUCAACUCAUAAAAUGUUAGUCUUUUUUGGUCGAUGGUCAUUGUAUUAUGAAUACUUAGUGUCAUUGUUUUGUUCUUCAUGAGUUUACAGUUAAAUGUAUUAUGUUUUUGUAAUGAUUGAAUCAUUUUAUGGUUAGGAAUAUUGGAUACAAUUUCGUGAAAUCACAAUUGUGACUUUCUUGUUUGUGAUGCAGGAAGUUCUGAAUCAACUGAGGUCGAGAUGUCAGAUUGCAUGUUGAGAUACCAUGAGAUGGCGGAUUGGCGCAAAGAUGGAAAGUGAUUGCAACACUUUCCUUAAUUGGGGCAAUUUCGAAACGUUUUUGGUAAUUUGGUCAUAACUUUGGCUACGGUUAUCAGAAUAGCUAUUAUAAUCCCAAUUCGAAAAGCUCUUUUCAGUACACACGUUGUUGUCAAGCCAUACUCAAUGGGCAUUAAUUUCGAGGCCAAAAUUUGUUGUUCUCCCGUUCAAAUUUCAAUUUUUAGUUAUUUUUUUCAUUUAUUAUAAUAUUUCGUUUGAUUUUUUCUAGUUGAUUUCAAAUCUGAUUUGAGCCAAAUUUUUGGCAAGUUCCUUCUUUUAUUCCAUAUUUUAUUUUGGUGUGGUUUUCGGGAUUUUGCCAUUUUUGGUAAAAUUUCCAUAAUUUCAUAUUUUUUAGCUAUUUAACCCGACUUGUGAUUAAUUUUCGUAUUCUGCAUUUUAAUAAAGUUAAGUUGAAUUUCAGAAAAUUCUCUCUAUUUCUUGGGCUUUUUCCAUCGUAUUCUUCCUGUGAAUUAUCUAUUGCAACUAGCCUGCAGGAUAAUCACUAUCUCACCCGACGUCAGUUUGUAACAUGGCAGGUAAACUUUUAUGAUGCACAAUGAUGUUGUCUUCUCAGUUGAUUUUAGUAGAGACUCUGAGAUGCUUGCAUCUGGAUCACAAGAUGGAAAAAUAAAGGUUAAGCUUGCUUUCAUUUUCUGCUUUAAUGUGAUUAUUCUCAUGUUGCUUUGUCUUCUAAUUUCCCUAACAUCUAAAAAGAGUUAAAAAAAAGAAGCAUCUAGACUUAUUCAACACAAAAUAACUUAAAGAAGUUAGAGAAUAUUACUUUAUGGUGAGAUAUUAUCCUCCAAAGAAUAUUUUUGGUAUAGCCGGGGAGUAUCAUGACAUCCAUUCUAAUUUGUUGCAAGGUUUUGAAGGACCCUCUAGUGGCUUGUAUUAUACAAUUUGAAAUUCACAAUUGUAAAUCUAUUUAGUAGAUGUUGUUCUCAUCUGUUUGGUUAUAGGUUUAGCGUAUUAGGACAGGUUAAUGCUAACACCGACUGGAACAUGCUCAUUCCCAGGGUGUCAUGAGCCUUGUCUUUUCACGAGAUGGAAGUCGGUUGUUAAGUACAGCAUUUGACAGCACAGCAAGGUUUGAACUCUUAGAGAUGGCUUUUGAAUUGAGCUAUAGUAUCCCCUUAAUCUCAUGCCCUCCACCACCCAAGGAAAAAAAAAAUCAGAAAAGGAUAAGAAGGAUUGUAGAUUCUUGAAAAGGUUCUCAUGAUCCUUACUUUUCUUAUAUUAUACAGAAUUCACGGAUUAAGUCAGGCAAGAUGUUGAAGGAAUUUCAUGGCCAUAUAUCUUAUGUUAACGAUGCCAUCUUUACAAGUGAUGGCUCUCUCGUCAUCUUUGUAUCAAGUGAUUGCACAAUGAAAGUAAGUUAACCUAGCUAUCUAUUAUUAAUUGAGGCCAAAUUUUUCAAGUUUGCUAAUCAUCUACAUGCUGAAUAAAACGAAUGGCAUCUAUAGGUUUAGGAUGUGAAAACUACAGACUGUCUGCAGACCUUUAAGCUGCUACCUCUAGGGAUGGCAAUUUGAACCGUUAAAAUCGAAAAUCGCGGUUAAACGAACCGAAUGGGGUAAAAAAAACCAAACUGAUGGUGCAAUGGGGCGGAUAUGGUAUUUGAUUUUAAGAAACUGGUUCGUGGCAGUGCGAAUAUGGUAUUUAUGCCGUCGAACCGAAAUCGAAUCGAUUAUCCGCUUAAAAAAUCAUUCUUUUAUUAGGUAUGGCAAGGUUUAGUGAGGAGGAAGUUGACAAAAAGGUACAUUUUUAUUUAAAUUUUAGUUAAAACCAUUCUUGAUUAGGUAGAAUCGUUAUAUUCUCUACUUAUAUUUCUUAUUUACUAUAUAGGAAUCAAUUUUGAGUGCUGACCUAUGCUAGUAAGCGUUGUGGGAAAGAAUGAAAAUUGAAUAUGAGUUAAGGUUGAAGCUUUUGAAUUAUUAAGCACGAAUCAAGUAACUACAAUGCAUAAGAAUCAAGAAUGAAGGAAAAGUUUAAUAUUGUUAUAUUCAUAAUAUUGUUUGUUAAAUUUGUAUUUUGCAAUUGAAAUUUGGGAUAAUGUUUGCAUUUUCGUUUGGAAUAUUGUGUUUUUGUUUUCAUUGACUCUCUUUUCAUAAAUUGUUUUAUAUCAAUUUGACGAAUGGACCUAUAAAGAAUAAUUUAUUUUCGUGGUUAUUAACCGAACCGAACCGAGCCAAAUCGAGAUACGAACCGAACCAAACCGCUUUAUGUGGUUAUGGUGCGGUUAUGGUAUGGCAAAAAAUUUGACGGUUCAGUGAUGUUUUAGGCCAAACCGAAUCGAAACCGAACCGUUGCAAUCCCUAGCUACCUCCUCUUAGGGUAAUUGCCUUAUUAGCAUUCUAAGUGAUUGCAAUUUGAAUAUGUUUCCUAAAUUUUCAUUUUGUUUUCUCCAACUUUUUCAUUCUAAUUUACAUUUGAAUUUCUUAACCUAAUUGCUACUUUUGUCUAUGUUAUCUACAGGGUAGUGAUGCAUGAAGGCCUAGGCAUGGUUCAAGUUGGGUUGGCUUGAGUCCAACCUAAAACGGAAAUAGGAAUCGACUUGAUCAUUUUGGAUAAAUUUCAACCCAAAUCGACCAAAUCCAGUCCUUGAAACUGAGACAAACCAAACCAAAUCUAUUUGGAUCGAUUUGAUUCGGUUAAUCGAUUUGGCAUUUGUGUGAGUAAAAAAAUUGUCUACCUAUAUUAAGUUUAAAAAAUUCGUUUUUUUAUACAUAUAAUUUUUUUUCGUGUGUAAUGCAUAUCAAUAAUAUAUAGGGAUGGAAAAUUGGCUCGGGCUGCCCGUGGCUCGGCCUAUAAAAAGCUCCGGGCUGUGCCUUUGUAAAGGAUGCAUGUUGCCUUCGUAAAGGAAAAAAAAAAAGAGAAAAAACGAGUUGGCUCGGGUCGAGCCUCAAUUUUUUGGCCAAGCUUUUGCUUGACUCGGCUCAGGCCAAAAAAAAGCUCGAGCCGAGCUUUUGACUAUUAUUUCACUAUUUCAGCCAUCAUUUUUUACUUCUUCACUCAUAGAUGGGACCCACUUUUCUCUCUAUUGGUCAAAAAAAUAAUUCUCAUAAUCACUGCUGAACAGAUCCAUAAUGUAAAUAGUAAAGAAUCAAUUUUUUUCAAAAUAAUCAUAUACAUAAAUCCAAUAGUUACCAACGAACAAUUACACCAAAAUGAAAGCAAAGCUACACUCUAAAUUCGAAGUUUACAUCAAACACUUCAUAUUCUUCUUCUUUUUCUUUUGAUAUUUAGAGUUUUGGUAAAAAAAUAUAGACGGUAAACAAAUUAUUGAGACAAAA